GACGGGUGAGUAACGCGUGGGAAUCUACCUAUCUCUAGGGAAUAACUCAGGGAAACUUGUGCUAAUACCCUAUACGUCCGUAAGGAGAAAGAUUUAUCGGAGAUAGAUGAGCCCGCGUUGGAUUAGCUAGUUGGUGGGGUAAAGGCCUACCAAGGCGACGAUCCAUAGCUGGUCUGAGAGGAUGAUCAGCCACACUGGGACUGAGACACGGCCCAGACUCCUACGGGAGGCAGCAGUGGGGAAUAUUGGACAAUGGGCGCAAGCCUGAUCCAGCCAUGCCGCGUGAGUGAUGAAGGCCCUAGGGUUGUAAAGCUCUUUCACCGGUGAAGAUAAUGACGGUAACCGGAGAAGAAGCCCCGGCUAACUUCGUGCCAGCAGCCGCGGUAAUACGAAGGGGGCUAGCGUUGUUCGGAUUUACUGGGCGUAAAGCGCACGUAGGCGGAUUGGUCAGUUAGGGGUGAAAUCCCAGGGCUUAACCCUGGAACUGCCUUUAAUACUGCCAGUCUUGAGUAUGGAAGAGGUGAGUGGAAUUGCGAGUGUAGAGGUGAAAUUCGUAGAUAUUCGCAGGAACACCAGUGGCGAAGGCGGCUCACUGGUCCAUUACUGACGCUGAGGUGCGAAA
RNAcentral lists this ribosomal RNA (622 nucleotides) under Paenochrobactrum gallinarii. RNAcentral's name for it is "bacterial SSU rRNA". It matches the Rfam family "Bacterial small subunit ribosomal RNA", at positions 100 to 758 of the family's 1533-position model. The record is from RNAcentral. Lineage: Bacteria; Pseudomonadati; Pseudomonadota; Alphaproteobacteria; Hyphomicrobiales; Brucellaceae.